UAAGGUUCGGGUCUGUGGUUGAAAGCCGAUGCCAGUCGCAGGCAAAGCGGUCCACGUAAGCCUGGAGAAUUUCCGGGUGAGCAUGGUGCGGUUUAGACGUAAGUCCGGCCGGAUGAAAAUCCGAGAGAGCGGCGUGGGGGCCAAGAUGCUAUGAGCAAUGCUCCUGCCGGCGAGUGUGGGGUCAAAGACCAGGUCAGCCUUCCUUA
Molecule: non-coding RNA, 206 nt
Submitted as: unclassified sequences
Source: Rfam